This 23-nucleotide non-coding RNA is filed under the name Cricetulus griseus (Chinese hamster). Lineage: Eukaryota; Metazoa; Chordata; Mammalia; Rodentia; Cricetidae. The record is from RNAcentral.
ACUGAAUCAACUAAUUGGGACUC